Olea europaea var. sylvestris is the source of this 975-nucleotide long non-coding RNA. RefSeq lists it as uncharacterized. The record is from RefSeq and is a predicted model, not a curated record. The transcript has 2 exons. Lineage: Eukaryota; Viridiplantae; Streptophyta; Magnoliopsida; Lamiales; Oleaceae.
GUGAUCAAGUCAUUUUUAGAAAAAUACUGGUUUCGAAGUACUUGCCCAUAAUAAUGCAUAAAUGUGGGCAAGUACUUCGAAACCAGUAUUUUUCUAAAAAUGACUUGAUCACACUUAUCAAUCAUCUUAUGAUGAGAGCCACUUUGUUGGAAGUGGCUAUCCCCUUUCUGAGCAGUUGAAAAUUUCUAAGAUAGUAAAUUUUUUCCCUUUGUAGACUUGAUAUGUGCUCUGGAUACGUAAGGAGGUUGUGUCAAAUGAAACUUUGUUCGACUAAAAAGGUGAAACAAGAAAAAAAUAACUCGAAGCAAGUCGAGUCCCCUCUUUUUGUUCGAGAAUGUUUAGUUUCUUUCAUAAUUAGCACAUUUCACGAUUUUUGGGUCUUUCGUUUUGCCUCAGUGAUGUUGUAAGAUGUGACCAUUCUGCAUUUCCAUUAUAUUAUUUUGCAGCUUGAUCUUUCAUUAUGACUUCUUUUCCAUCUGACAUACAGGAGGACAGAAAAGGAAUGAAAAACUUCCUUACAUAAGUUUAGGAUAACUAGAAAAGAAAUCAAGCCUUUCUGUGUUCUUCUUUGUUUCUGAUCUUUUGUUUCUGUUUACUAUUGCUGUCGGCUUGAGAAAGUAAGGUUUAAACCUUAAGUAUUUUUGCAGGACUUGGUUCAAGAAAUAGUUCGCCUGUAAUAUUCCCUGGGGCUCCCGAGCCAGCAAUGAUGAACAAAGGCUUGAUUUCUGUCGAAUUUUACAGGAAUGGUUUGUCAAAUGAUGACAGAGUGCCAAAUUCGUAUUCUCCCGUUUCUGCAGGACAGCUCUCUGGUUUAGAAUUCAGAUCCCAGGAAUAGAGUUAGCUUCACAUUUUGUCAUCAUAGCAGUGAGAUGUAUAUAUAAAGAUUAAGGAACAUGGGAUUGAAGUAUUUAGAGUUCAUUUGUACAAUCAUUAAUUUAUUAAUUUUAUUUGCAGUCCUUCCCUUUACAAAAUUCA